GUGGGGAAUAUUGGACAAUGGGCGAAAGCCUGACGCAGCCAUGCCGCGUGAAUGAUGAAGGUCUUAGGAUUGUAAAAUUCUUUCACCGGGGACGAUAAUGACGGUACCCGGAGAAGAAGCUCCGGCUAACUUCGUGCCAGCAGCCGCGGUAAUACGAAGGGGGCUAGCGUUGCUCGGAAUUACUGGGCGUAAAGGGCGCGUAGGCGGACAGCUUAGUCAGAGGUGAAAGCCCAGGGCUCAACCUUGGAAUUGCCUUUGAUACUGGCUGUCUUGAGUUUGGGAGAGGUGAGUGGAACUCCGAGUGUAGAGGUGAAAUUCGUAGAUAUUCGGAAGAACACCAGUGGCGAAGGCGACUCACUGGCCCAAUACUGACGCUGAGGCGCGAAAGCGUGGGGAGCAAACAGGAUUAGAUACCCGAGUAGUCC
This 425-nucleotide ribosomal RNA is filed under the name uncultured bacterium. RNAcentral's name for it is "partial 16S ribosomal RNA". It matches the Rfam family "Bacterial small subunit ribosomal RNA", at positions 354 to 796 of the family's 1533-position model. The record is from RNAcentral.